Struthio camelus australis is the source of this 1578-nucleotide long non-coding RNA. Lineage: Eukaryota; Metazoa; Chordata; Aves; Struthioniformes; Struthionidae. The record is from Ensembl.
UCAUUGGAACCAAGCAAAAUCGGAAUUUUUCACAAAAUCGCUUAUCCACUUGUCUCUGGGCAAUGGCUAGAGGCCAGGUGUGAGGAAGUCACUGGGGCUGCACUACAGAGCCAUUUUGGGUAUGAAGAACAUCUCCUUUGCUAGAAAAAUCUCCCUAUUGAAUGCCUGCACAUCGCGGCUCUGAGCAGGAAGAGGCCAGGGGAGGUGUUUGAGUGAGGCGCUCUCUGGGGCCUGGGAAAGGCCAAACAGGCCUCCCAUCAUUGGAAAGGUUGCGAAGGCUGCGCAGGAGCCUCUCCACCACCUGCCCACGUCUCUCUGGCAGCCUUGUUUCAGUCCUUCCGGUGCAUUAGGAGUGGAUGUUUGUACUUCACCUUUGCUUCUGCACAUGGACUCUUUUUCCCAAAAUAAGAAGGGAGAUGGUGUCAGUGGGGAACAAGCUUCCUUCCUUCCCUACUUCAAGAUCGUAUUCAAACAGUGGAAGAGGUGCAAAAGCCUAUGCUAUCAACAUAUUUACCAGAAAUCUGGAGAGGAGGUUGGACAGUGAAAUGAAAAAACUUGAUAGUAGCUAUUCAGGGUAAAAAGACAAGAACUUACUGUGAAGGGAUGAAAAGCAUCUUACAAUUCAGAAUGACUGGACAACAAAAUGUCAUUAAAAUCAAUGCAGAUAACUGUAAAGUGAUAUAUAUGAGAAUACACAGAUCCGAUAUCAUGUAAACAUAUUGGGCUCAGAGUUGACUGUUAGCACACAGAAAAAAGAUUUUGAGGUUAUUAGAGAAAUGUAUGGAAAUGUCUUCUCAGUGCUCAACAGAAAUCGGAAAAGCAAGCAGAAUUACUGAGGAAGGAAGACUGACUGCAACGGUAACCAGCAUGAGAUCGCUAUACAAACUCGGGCAGCUGCUGGGUGCUCUGCUGGUCUUCCUGGCUGGAACAGCAGAGUGGAACUGAGAAAGAGCAGAAGGGAGUAGCAAGAAACGGUUCAAAAACCAGAGUAUCAAGAGUCGGAGCGGUUUCCACAUGGAAAUGGCUUAGGGGUCUUAACCUGAAAUGACACACCAUGAUAGCAGUUUAUAAAAUCCUGAACAGCCUAGAACAGUUGAAUAGGGAUUUGCUGUCCAAUGCCUCAUUCAAUAUUAGAAGUCGGAGGUGUGAUGAAAGCGACCCAUCGGUAGGUUCAAAAAACCUUAGGAAAAGCUGGGGUUGUGACUGGUGGAAGCAGGGAGAACAUACUAGGAAGGUACCUGCUACCAUCCACAAUGUGGUCUAGGAGGACUUUUGGUAUGACCCCUACAACCUUUGCUGGCCCUGAAAGGACAGGAAGUACAACGGGAGUUUGGAGCAGCUGUCAUGCAAGGAAAGAUUAGGAUUACAUAUCCUAUGAAAAAUAGGGCUGAGGAGAUAUGAUGGAAGACUAUAAAAUCAUGAAUGAUUCAGAGUGAUCAAAGAUAAACUAUUCACUAUUUCUUGUAACAGAGGACCUGACAGCUCCCAGCUGAAAUGGGUCACGGGUGUAAAACCAACAAAAGGAGGUAUUUUUCCACACUGUAUAUACAUAAAAUUGUGGAACUCAUUGCCACAAGA